AUAAAUAGGUUGUAAUCAUUUCACAACUACAGCUCACCAUGCUCCACUAUGCUUAAUAAAGCGAUCAAAGUAGCAUCGACCUCCGGGAAAUUGCCUUUAGAGAAAGUGUAUCAGAUCUGGAGAAAUUAAGCUCCGGUGACGCGGACUUUGAACGAAGAAUGGAUCCGCCGAUUACAAUCGCCGAUCGCCACUCUUCGUCUUCUGCGUCUGAGAACGGCAAGAGAUGAGGCGGAUCUCCAAAAACAGACUCCGCUAGAGUCGGAACAACCAGCGAUCCAUCCGUCGGCUCCCUUGGAAGAACAAAAGGACCUCAAGUGGAGGUCGC
Molecule: long non-coding RNA, 325 nt
Filed under: Eucalyptus grandis
Lineage: Eukaryota; Viridiplantae; Streptophyta; Magnoliopsida; Myrtales; Myrtaceae
Description: long non-coding RNA (EGRA_LNC002114)
Source: RNAcentral